GUCCCAUUGUAUUUGCUCCCUAUGUAAUUUAAUCACUGGGACCUUUACAUUUCUUCUUAGAGAAAUCCAUUACAUACCUUGAUCAAGAGGAGAUGACUCUGGAAACUUUCAUUUGGUUUGUAAUAAUGAGUAAAGCAUUAAAUAAAUACUUCUUUAGAAUUUUGAAUUUAGAAGGGAUUAGGCAUAGUACAUUAAAAUAAAAGCAAC
This 207-nucleotide long non-coding RNA is filed under the name Mytilus galloprovincialis (Mediterranean mussel). Lineage: Eukaryota; Metazoa; Mollusca; Bivalvia; Mytilida; Mytilidae. The record is from RNAcentral.